CGCGUAGGUGGUUUGGUAAGUCAGAAGUGAAAGCCCUCGGCUUAACCGGGGAACUGCUUUUGAAACUGCCAUGCUAGGGUACGGGAGAGGGAGGUAGAAUUCCUGGUGUAGCGGUGAAAUGCGUAGAUAUCAGGAAGAAUACCGGCGGCGAAGGCGGCCUCCUGGCCCGAUACUGACACUGAGGCGCGAAAGCGUGGGGAGCGAACA
Molecule: ribosomal RNA, 207 nt
Filed under: uncultured bacterium
Lineage: Bacteria
Description: partial 16S ribosomal RNA
Rfam family: Bacterial small subunit ribosomal RNA
Source: RNAcentral